ACGCCCCGACGACACCUGGGCACAUCUGUCCUCCAAGCUCGAGGACCGGACUGCCGAGCCCCUCCGGCCCUGCCAGGGCUCACUAGCCCCUCUUCGCGUGCAGAGCUCGGCGCGCGUGAAAACUACAGGGUGCUUCCUAGGUCCAGCCGGCCCUGCUCCUCUGUGGGUCUCCGGUAAGGGCAAGUGACCUGUGAAUGAGCCACAAGCUUAUGAGGUGCUUGGGAGUCCAGUGAAGCCCAAGAAGUCUGUCUAACUCUAGUCUCUCUCAUUCUCUCUCCUGGAUAAAACUGUUUGCUACAAUUAGAAUUCUCAAUAACUGAGUAGUCCUGGCAGUCAGAAUACCUCCAUUCUCAACUGUUCUUGGCCUUCCAGGACUCAGCCAAAAGAGUUUGAAAAUUUCCCAAUUUAACAUCCUGUGAUGCUGGCCUGAGAAAUCAAUGUAAGAAUUGCUGCUCAACUGAGUUCCUUUUUAGAGCAUACAAAUCCUGUUAAAGCCUCUGAAAAAUCUUGAAGAUAAAAGCUCUAGUUAAACAGUAUUUACCCUAGCUCUUGUUACCUUUGCUGCCUGUGUGCCCCAUGUUGUUUCUGCUCUGCCAUAUCUGUUUGUCAUCCCUGCCUUGGA
Long non-coding RNA from Heterocephalus glaber (naked mole-rat), 622 nucleotides. RefSeq lists it as uncharacterized. NCBI's taxonomy places the organism in Eukaryota, Metazoa, Chordata, Mammalia, Rodentia, Bathyergidae. The record is from RefSeq and is a predicted model, not a curated record.